This is a non-coding RNA of Procavia capensis (Cape rock hyrax), 99 nucleotides long. NCBI's taxonomy places the organism in Eukaryota, Metazoa, Chordata, Mammalia, Hyracoidea, Procaviidae. The record is from Rfam.
UGAGUAGACCUGUCCGUGGCCUUCAGAAUGAGACCCUUUAUGCGGUACUCAGGCCAUUAAAGAGAAAAUUGUCUUCACUUUGAAUACUGAAAGCAAGGA